This 354-nucleotide ribosomal RNA is filed under the name uncultured bacterium. RNAcentral's name for it is "bacterial SSU rRNA". It matches the Rfam family "Bacterial small subunit ribosomal RNA", at positions 917 to 1267 of the family's 1533-position model. The record is from RNAcentral.
GGGCCUGCACAAGCGGUGGAGUAUGUGGCUUAAUUCGAUGCAACGCGAAGAACCUUACCUGGCCUUGACAUGCAUCUCUAAGCGUGUGAAAGCACGUGACCCCUCGGGGAAUUUGCACAGGUGCUGCAUGGCUGUCGUCAGCUCGUGUCGUGAGAUGUUGGUUAAGUCCCGCAACGAGCGCAACCCUUGUGUCCUGUUGCCACUUCCGCUAGCGCGGAAAGCACUCUGGACAGACUGCCUCGUCUCAACGAGGAGGAAGGUGGGGAUGACGUCAAGUCAGUAUGGCCCUUACGGCCAGGGCUGCACACGUACUACAAUGCCUGGUACAAUGGGAAGCAAUACCGUGAGGUGGAG